AAGAGCACUACAAGAAAAAACGUGAUUUGCUACCAUUAAUUUGCUACAAAUAGUGUUUCUAGUUAAUUUCAAGUAUAUUAACAACCAUUUGACUGAAAUUAAUCUUAUAUUACUUUUUUAACAAAUCACAGUAUUAUUAUUAUUAUUUUAUUUAUUUUUUACUAUUCUUUUUUAUUGCUACUAUUAAUUUGUUGACUGUCAAAAAAACAAAAUCUCAGAACACGUAUCGUGAAACCCCUCUCUCCUUCGAUCUUGCUCCGCCGCGAUCUUGCUCCGAUCUAACUCUCCCUCUGAUUUUGCUCCGAUCUCACUUUCCGUCCGAUCUUGCUCUUGAUCCUCGAACAUAUAUCACUCCAACAUAGACUCGAUCCUCUCGCGAUUGUUAUUCUUAGUUGAAAUUUGAUGUUGUGCUCGUUUCAGAUUACUUCUGCCUCUUAGGAUGGAGUAGUGGAUUCCAAGGUAGCAUCUACACUUCGACCCUGUACUAAAGGUCUUUGGUUGUGGAGCUCACCUAUUAAGAGGACUGCUCUUGAUGGAAUAUUGUACAGUCUUCUGCUAUUAGACAUUGAAGGGGACAAACAACACCCAGAUAUUUUAGGUAUUAAUAAUACUAAAUUAAUUGCUCAAAAAUCAAAAUGAAUGCCUCUAAUCACAAAUCACCAUUCCUCUGACCAAACUUGACCUCAGUGGUCAAGUCCAUGAAUGGACUAUCCAGAUGCCGGUUUGCUGAAACCAUUAUUUUGUAUUAUACACUUGGUCUAUAUGAACAGAUUAUACUAGUUUCUGCCCCAUGUUUUGCUUUCAGUAUCAUCAUUUUUAUGUCAUGUUCAACAGGCUGAACUUGCACGAAUGAAUGAAGACUUGGAACUCUUCAAUAAUGACACAAAUCCACAUUAUUUCUUUAUGAAGAAAGAAGUCAUUAAAUCAAGAAACAAGGAUCUCGUUCAACUUUUUGAAUUUGGUGGUGUGAGACACUGUGACUUAUGUGAAAGUGUGAAGUCCACAAUAUCACACAGCAUUAGAUUAACAACAUUGGUGGAAAUAAAUUGUGUUUUACAUCAUUUGCAUCAUAUCACAUUGAAGCUGUUUUACUACUCACUUUGAAAUGGAAUUUUGCUAAUUGUGAUCUUGAAUUGCUAUUAGUAUAAGUUCUUCAUUUCACAUUGAAGCUUUUUCUCUCACUGGUGAUGUUAUUUUCUUAUAUUUCAUUUGUUGCCAUUUUUCGUUUACAGGUGAAACAUCCUGAGGUUGCAGAAUUUCUUGGUUCGCGGAUGUAUGAUUGUUUAAUCAAAUACAAUGAAGUUCAGAGCUUAUAGUUGAGACUGAUUCUUUUAAAAAGGAGGAAUUUUCAUUCAAGAGUUGGAUAAUAUGAGCCGAUGCUUAUGGAAGUUCAUUUGCACCGUGUGAUGUAAGAAACAAACAGGUGAAGGUUGCUUUUGGUGCAGAUGUUUAUCCUGGUCUCCCGUAUCUAGUGAGUGAUCAGAUAGCCUAAAUUAAAAUGUUCUACUGGGAACCAUUAGGAGAAACCAACAGAAAAGAACUUGCUCUAAUUGGUUUUACUAGAAAAGCCUUUUAUUUUCCCUUUGUAUCUUAGAAGGUCACUAUUUUUAUUGUGUUAUACUGUCCUGUGAGGUUUACCUCCCUUUCAAUCUUCAAUAUAAUUCUUAUGUGUUUAAAUGCAAGGAAGCUGCUAACUUUGGGACUCCACAAUGGCUUUGGCAUAGCUAAAGAAACUGCAGUGCAUAGAGCUACAAUGAAUCAUCUUCCUAUGCUUUCCCAUCAUCAACUACUUUACUGGCUACCAUGUCUUUUAUUUCAAG
Long non-coding RNA from Trifolium pratense (red clover), 1820 nucleotides. RefSeq lists it as uncharacterized. NCBI's taxonomy places the organism in Eukaryota, Viridiplantae, Streptophyta, Magnoliopsida, Fabales, Fabaceae. The transcript is spliced from 7 exons. The record is from RefSeq and is a predicted model, not a curated record.